AUGGAUCGCCUUUGCAAAAAUGGAAGGGUUACGGAAGCCCAGGAUCUCUUUGACCUGAUGGUACACAUGGGUGUGAAGCCUGACGUGUGUACUUAUAACACACUGAUGGGUGGAUACUUGUUCGUUGGUAAGAUGGAUGAAGUGAGCAAGUUACUUGACAAUAUGGUCUCAAUUGGCAUGGAACCAGAUGUUAUCACAUAUAGCAUACUGAUUGAUGGUUACUCUAAGAAUGGAAGGAUAGAUGAUGCAUUGGUUGUUUUCAGGGAAAUGUUGGACACGAAGGGUAAGCCGUCUGUUAUCAGUUUUAAUAUUAUGAUUGGUGCAUUGCUUAAAUGUGGUAGGAAGGAAGAAGCCAAAGAUUUGUUUGAUGGUAUCUGGGCCAAUGGGUUAGUGCCUGACGUUAUUACAUAUAGCUUAAUGAUACAAAAACUUAUUGAAGAAGGUUCUCUACAAGAGUCUGAUGAUCUAUUCCUUUCUACGGAGAAGAAUGGAUGUGCUGCCGACUCCCGUAGGCUAAAUGCUAUAGUUAGAAGCUUACUUCAGAAAGGGGAGAUUCCUAGGGCUGGGACUUAUCUGUCUAAAAUUGAUGAGAGGGGCUUCACCCUUGAAGCUUCCACAGCUAGCUUGUUGACUGCACUUGCUUCAGGGGGAAAAGGCCAGGAAUACAAGGAGUUACUCCCUGAAAAAUACCACUCUUUUCUGGAACAGGGCACUUUGAACUUCUAA
RNAcentral lists this ribosomal RNA (726 nucleotides) under Triticum aestivum (bread wheat). Its description in RNAcentral is "partial small subunit ribosomal RNA". Lineage: Eukaryota; Viridiplantae; Streptophyta; Magnoliopsida; Poales; Poaceae. The record is from RNAcentral.